Molecule: small RNA, 386 nt
Filed under: Pseudomonas sp. JV241A
Lineage: Bacteria; Pseudomonadati; Pseudomonadota; Gammaproteobacteria; Pseudomonadales; Pseudomonadaceae
Description: cspA
Rfam family: cspA thermoregulator
Source: RNAcentral
GACCUGGGCAGUAGCUCUGAUGUUUGCUACACCCGUUCGACGUCUCUUACUUUCCUGCAACCCAGCCCAGUACUCUUUCAUUUGGAAGAAGCUGUUACUAAUUCUAAGUUUCAAAGGAAAUAAGACAAUGUCCCAACGUCAGAGCGGUACCGUCAAGUGGUUUAACGACGAGAAAGGUUUUGGUUUCAUCACUCCAGAAAGCGGUCCGGAUCUGUUCGUACAUUUCCGCGCUAUUCAGGGCAACGGCUUCAAGAGCCUGAAAGAAGGUCAGAAAGUCACCUUCAUCGCCGUGCAAGGCCAGAAAGGCAUGCAGGCUGACGAAGUUCAAGCCGAAGGCUGAUCUUCAUCAACAAAGAAGCCUCUGCUGGCAACAGCAGGGGCUUUUU